RNAcentral lists this ribosomal RNA (492 nucleotides) under uncultured bacterium. RNAcentral's name for it is "partial 16S ribosomal RNA". It matches the Rfam family "Bacterial small subunit ribosomal RNA", at positions 29 to 507 of the family's 1533-position model. The record is from RNAcentral.
AAUGAACGCUGGCGGUAGGCCUAACACAUGCAAGUCGAACGGCAGCACAGUAAGAGCUUGCUCUUACGGGUGGCGAGUGGCGGACGGGUGAGGAAUACAUCGGAAUCUACUUUUUCGUGGGGGAUAACGUAGGGAAACUUACGCUAAUACCGCAUACGACCUACGGGUGAAAGCAGGGGAUCUUCGGACCUUGCGCGGAUGAAUGAGCCGAUGUCGGAUUAGCUAGUUGGCGGGGUAAAGGCCCACCAAGGCGACGAUCCGUAGCUGGUCUGAGAGGAUGAUCAGCCACACUGGAACUGAGACACGGUCCAGACUCCUACGGGAGGCAGCAGUGGGGAAUAUUGGACAAUGGGCGCAAGCCUGAUCCAGCCAGACCGCGUGGGUGAAGAAGGCCUUCGGGUUGUAAAGCCCUUUUGUUGGGAAAGAAAAGCAGCAGGUUAAUACCCCGCUGUUCUGACGGUACCCAAAGAAUAAGCACCGGCUAACUUCGUG